AUUGAACGCUGGCGGCAGGCCUAACACAUGCAAGUCGAGCGGUAACACAGGGAGCUUGCUCCUGGGUGACGAGCGGCGGACGGGUGAGUAAUGUCUGGGAAACUGCCUGAUGGAGGGGGAUAACUACUGGAAACGGUAGCUAAUACCGCAUAACGUCGCAAGACCAAAGAGGGGGACCUUCGGGCCUCUUGCCAUCAGAUGUGCCCAGAUGGGAUUAGCUAGUAGGUGGGGUAACGGCUCACCUAGGCGACGAUCCCUAGCUGGUCUGAGAGGAUGACCAGCCACACUGGAACUGAGACACGGUCCAGACUCCUACGGGAGGCAGCAGUGGGGAAUAUUGCACAAUGGGCGAAAGCCUGAUGCAGCCAUGCCGCGUGUAUGAAGAAGGCCUUCGGGUUGUAAAGUACUUUCAGCGGGGAGGAAGGCGUUGAGGUUAAUAACCUCAGCGAUUGACGUUACCCGCAGAAGAAGCACCGGCUAACUCCGUGCCAGCAGCCGCGGUAA
Molecule: ribosomal RNA, 504 nt
Filed under: uncultured bacterium
Lineage: Bacteria
Description: partial 16S ribosomal RNA
Rfam family: Bacterial small subunit ribosomal RNA
Source: RNAcentral